GACGAACGCUGGCGGCGUGCUUAACACAUGCAAGUCGAGCGGAAAGGCCUUCUGGGGUUCUUGGGUGGCGAAUGCGCGAGUGACAAGCGGGUAAGUAGCACCAGACUUAGGGAUAACCAACGGAAACAUGGGCUAAUACCGCAUACGCCAAUGCCCGGCAUGACGUCAGUGUGGUGAGUUUUUUGGAUUACGAUUGUCUGGCGGCUGGGGAUGUUGUCGCUGGGUAUCAGGUUGUUGGUGGGGUGAUGGCCUACCAAGGCGGCGACGGGGAGCGGGCCUGAGAGUGCGACCGGCGACACUGGGACGGAGACACGGCCCAGACGCCUACGGGAGGCAGCAGUGGUGAAUAGUGCACAAUGGGCGGAAGGCUGAUGCAGCGACGCCGGGUGUGGGAUGACGGCCUUCGUGUUGUAAACCGCUUGCAGCAGGGACGAAGCGUAAGUGACGGUACCUGCAGAAGAAGCGCCGGCCAACUACGUG
RNAcentral lists this ribosomal RNA (480 nucleotides) under uncultured bacterium. Its description in RNAcentral is "partial 16S ribosomal RNA". It matches the Rfam family "Bacterial small subunit ribosomal RNA", at positions 28 to 507 of the family's 1533-position model. The record is from RNAcentral.